GAUGAACGCUGGCGGCGUGCUUAACACAUGCAAGUCGAACGAGAAGUGGAGACGGACACCUUCGGGCGGAAGACUUUAUUUCGAGUGGCGGACGGGUGAGUAACGCGUGGGUAACCUGCCUCAUACAGGGGGAUAACAGUUGGAAACGACUGUUAAUACCGCAUAAGACCACAGCACCGCAUGGUGCGGGGGUAAAAACUCCGGUGGUAUGAGAUGGACCCGCGUUCGAUUAGCCAGUUGGCGGGGUAACGGCCCACCAAAGCGACGAUCGAUAGCCGAUCUGAGAGGAUGACCGGCCACAGUGGGACUGAGACACGGCCCAAACUCCUACGGGAGGCAGCAGUGGGGAAUAUUGCACAAUGGGGGAAACCCUGAUGCAGCGACGCCGCGUGAGUGAAGAAGUAUUUCGGUAUGUAAAGCUCUAUCAGCAGGGAAGAAAAUGACGGUACCUGAGGAAGAAGCCCCGGCUAACUACGUG
This 478-nucleotide ribosomal RNA is filed under the name uncultured bacterium. Its description in RNAcentral is "partial 16S ribosomal RNA". It matches the Rfam family "Bacterial small subunit ribosomal RNA", at positions 28 to 507 of the family's 1533-position model. The record is from RNAcentral.